Molecule: ribosomal RNA, 221 nt
Filed under: uncultured bacterium
Lineage: Bacteria
Description: partial 16S ribosomal RNA
Rfam family: Bacterial small subunit ribosomal RNA
Source: RNAcentral
UUGGCGGACGGGUGAGUAACGCGUGAGAAUCUGCCUUCAGGAUGGGGAUAACAGCCGGAAACGACUGCUAAAACCCAAUGUGCCGAGAGGUGAAAUAUUAAUAGCCUGAAGAGGAGCUCGCGUCCGAUUAGCUAGUUGGUGAGGUAACGGCCCACCAAGGCGACGAUCCGUAGCUGGUCUGAGAGGACGAUCAGCCACACUGGGACUGAGACACGGCCCAA